RNAcentral lists this ribosomal RNA (483 nucleotides) under Triticum aestivum (bread wheat). RNAcentral's name for it is "partial small subunit ribosomal RNA". Lineage: Eukaryota; Viridiplantae; Streptophyta; Magnoliopsida; Poales; Poaceae. The record is from RNAcentral.
AUGCGCACACAACCGGCGACCAACAUCACACAAAGGUCGCCACCACCGGCGGUGGAAGGACAGUCUUCUCCCGCCGCUAGCCGCAGCCUCCGCCUCGCCCUGAUCCUCGGCAUCCUCGACCGCCACUCGCUCUCCUCGGAAGCACCUCGCCGCCUCCCUGCCCAUGCCGUGUUCGCCGACUGCCCUGCUCGCGCCGACCUCGCCAAUCUCGCGGCCGCGCUUGGCAGUGCUCAACUUGUCCUCGCCGCCGCCAGCGGCGACGGGUCCUUCCUGUGCCUCUGCCGCCUCGUGGCCGAGUCCUCCUCUCCCCAAAUCGACACCCGCCCCCUUUGUCAAGCCUGCCGUGCUAGCGACAUGAGCAGGAUGGUGUACACCGGCUUCACAGACAUGUGGCCGUCGAGGCUUCGGAUGAGGUCGACGCGGAUGAGAACAGUCCAUAGAGCCGUACCAGGCAGAACAAGCUGUUCCAUGCAUGGGGUCUGA